ACAGCCUACAUAACAGUCCACUACAAAUCGAAAAACUCGAACUCCGGUUUUUGAUCACCGUCCGGUGAGUUAUAACUAUUAAGAAAUAAAGUUAUCAACCUUAAUUGAUAUUUAAAGAUUAAAUACUGGAGUAUACAUUUUCAUAACUAUGAAUUACCUUCCAAAACUCAAACUACAAAGAAAGAGAGAGGCAAUAUAUCGAUACUUACAUCGUAGGGAUCAUUCUAGUGUUAUUGAUUCUUGAUUUCAUACCCGAGAUGUUAAUACUCUUUGAAACCCUUGAAGAGAACUUAAGUUAAAUUUAUGGGUGUUCUCUGGUUGUG
This 323-nucleotide long non-coding RNA is filed under the name Nicotiana benthamiana. RNAcentral's name for it is "long non-coding RNA (NBEN_LNC019149)". The record is from RNAcentral. Lineage: Eukaryota; Viridiplantae; Streptophyta; Magnoliopsida; Solanales; Solanaceae.